UAGCAUGCAUGUGUAGCGAGCGUAAGUGGAGCGGCACACGGCUCAGUAACGGGCUACUAUUUGAUCUCCCUGAGCGGAUAUCCUCUGUAACCGGAGGGCAAAACGCAAGAGACGCAGCAGAAGAUGGUGUGUGUCUAACAUUAGUGGGGGAGAGUAAGGAGCCAGCCCAUCAGCUAGUAAGUAGGGUAAGGGCCUACUUAGGCAAAUACGGGUACGGGGAAUUAACGUUUGAUUCCGGAGAGGGAGCCUGAGAGACGGCUACCGGGUCCAAGGACAACAGCAGGCGCGAAAAUUACCGGAGCCUGCGAUCAGGGCGGUAGUAAGGAAACGUGAUAACGAUGUGCGGGUAAACAACGCAGUGGAUACAGGAGGAAAAGACUGGUGCCAGCACCCGCGGUAAUACCAGCUCCUGGAGUGUCUAUGAUGAUUGCUGCAGUUAAAGCGUUCGUAGUCGAAGCGGAAAGAAUGGCGUGACAGACAGCUGCUCAAAGGGUGGAUUGCGCUGUGAUCCCGUAGGAUGAGGAGUGUCUAGGGGCCAGGUUAUUAAACGGCAAGCGGUGAAAUGUUCUGACCCGUUUAGGAGCGACAGAGGCGAAAGCGCUGGCCAGGGGCAAKUCCGAUGAUAAAGGACGUAGGCUAGAGGAUCGAAGACGAUUAGAGACCGUUGUAGUUCUAGCAGUAAACGAUGCCGAUGUUGUGGUGCCAUGAGGCAACGCAAAAGAGAAAUCUAGUAGGGCCCUGGGGAGAGUACGCGCGCAAGCGAGAAAUUUAAAGGAAAUUGACGGAUGAACACCUCAAAGAGUGGAGUGUGCGGCUUAAUUUGACUCAACGCGGGACAGCUUACCGGGCCCGACGACCGUAUGAGCGUGACACGCGAUAGGUCGGAGAGUGGUGCAUGGCCGUUAACGACGAGUGGAGUGAUCUUUGGGUUAAGUCCGUAAAUUAGUGAGACCCCAGCGAAAGGACAGGUGCGCAACGCACAGGAAGGAUGGGUCAAGGACAGGUCAGUGAUGCCCUUAGAUGGCCCGGGCUGCACGCGCACUACAGUGGUCGCCGAAAUUUGAAGGAAGAGUUAAAGGCGAUCGAGAGGGAAUGAGCUUUGGAAGAGGCUCAGGAACGCGGAAUUGUUAGUAAUCGCGGGCUCAUUAAGACGCGAUGAAUACGACCCUGUUCAUUGUACACACCGCCCGUCGUUAUCGAAGACGAUGCUAGGCGCGAGCGAGGUUUGAUGGCUGAGCAAGCGCAGGGUAUUGAAUCUGAUGUAAGUCGUAACAAGGUAGCUGUAGGAGAACCUGUAGCUGGAUCAGACAAGUAGAAACAUUUGAGAUAAAGAAAUCUCUGCGCAAGGGAUCUUUUGGCUCGCGGGACGACGAAGGGCGCAGCGGAUGGCGUAAAGUGCAGGAGCAGCAGCGAUGACAGCACGUGCCUGAAACAGCGAGAGCAUGAACACCCCUUUGAAUUAAGCAUAUGAGUAAAGGGAGGAAAAGAAACUUACAAGGAUUCCUGCAGUAGCGGCGAGCGAAGAAGGAAGAGCCCCGAGUGCAAUCACGUGAGUGAGAUGUCGGCGGUCGCAGCAACGGCGUUGAAUCGCCGGCCACUGAGGGUGAUAGCCCCGUGCGAGACCGGAUGCGGGAGUAGCAGUGUUUGGUAUUGCACUGUGAACGGGUGGCAGCGCCCAUCCAAGGCUAAAUACGGCGCGAGACCGAUAGCGAAGAAGUAGUGCGAACGAAGAACGAAUAGGCUGAAAAGGAA
RNAcentral lists this ribosomal RNA (1752 nucleotides) under Microsporidia sp. FP11. RNAcentral describes it as "eukaryotic LSU rRNA". Lineage: Eukaryota; Fungi; Microsporidia. The record is from RNAcentral.